GAUGAACGCUGGCGGCGUGCUUAACACAUGCAAGUCGAACGGGGUUUACGAGAAGCUUGCUUUUUGUAAACCUAGUGGCGGACGGGUGAGUAACGCGUGAGUAACCUGCCUUAGACUGGGGGAUAACACUUAGAAAUAGGUGCUAAUACCGCAUAAGCGCACAGUAUCGCAUGAUACAGUGUGAAAAACUCCGGUGGUCUAAGAUGGACUCGCGUCUGAUUAGCUGGUUGGUGAGGUAACGGCCCACCAAGGCGACGAUCAGUAGCCGGCCUGAGAGGGUGAACGGCCACAUUGGGACUGAGACACGGCCCAAACUCCUACGGGAGGCAGCAGUGGGGGAUAUUGCACAAUGGGCGAAAGCCUGAUGCAGCGACGCCGCGUGAGUGAAGAAGUAUUUCGGUAUGUAAAGCUCUAUCAGCAGGAAGAAAAUGACGU
Molecule: ribosomal RNA, 435 nt
Filed under: bacterium LD3001
Lineage: Bacteria
Description: bacterial SSU rRNA
Rfam family: Bacterial small subunit ribosomal RNA
Source: RNAcentral